Monodelphis domestica (gray short-tailed opossum) is the source of this 1778-nucleotide long non-coding RNA. The record is from Ensembl. NCBI's taxonomy places the organism in Eukaryota, Metazoa, Chordata, Mammalia, Didelphimorphia, Didelphidae.
AUCCCAGCCUUCAAGGAUCUUACAUUCCUACUGGGGAGACAACAUAUAUAUAUAUAUAUAUAUAUAUAUAUAUUAGUGAUAGGAACAGACCUAUAAUUUCAUUGGUAUCGCCUAUACCAAACAGGGGUCCCCAAACUUUUUAAACAGGGGGCCAGUUCACUGUCCCUCAGACCAUUGGAGGGCCAGACUAUAAAAACCUAACCUAACCAGGCAGCAAUAUACACAGUGUGGAAUCCCCUCCCCCAGAUCACUGCUCACCAUGCUGAUGUCUUCCAUUGUGCCGCCACAUAAUCUUUUGCACUGGCGCCUCGUUCUAAGGAUCCACGCAAAGGAUUAUGUCACCGGAAGUAGUACUGUACAGGAGCAACACAGUGCUUUGCGGAGCAGCCACCUACAGUGCUCCUCUCAUGGACCACCAGUGAAAGAGAUGUUCGGAGGUGUCAGAAGUGAGGAGACUCUGGAAAUGAGCUGCUGUGAGACCUCGAUGGGGGCCAUUUGGGCGUUCCGUGAAAACUUGAAGUCCAUGAUGCCUCCCAGGAAUUUGACGACUCUGGAAAUCUGCCUCAUUCAAAUCCAAGUCAUUCUGGAGUCAAGACAUCAAACUGUGAGGCCACUGAUUCCUGUCAAAAACAAAGGACCAACAGAGCCAAUGAACAUCAAUUUUCAAAUAAGGCAAGGAGGAAAGGAAGGAAACAAACCCCUAAACCUGGGAGAGAGAAGAAUGCUGAGAGAGAGAGGACCCAGAAUCAGAACCCAUAAAGGAAAGAAAGGAAGGUGAAGGGAUUUUUUUCCAGAACUGUAUCAGUCAAGUUUGAAGCUAGAAAUGAUGAACACAACAGUUGCUAUUGAAAAGUAAUUCUGAAUGAAAGGAACAACUUGAAAGCAAAGCAAAAGAGGAGAACAAGAUUCACUGAUUUGGGCUGAGAUGUCAAGAUCAAUGAGGAGUUUAUCAAGCUCUAUGUACCUCAACUUAGCUUAGGAGUGGGGUUAUAUUGAUCAAGGACCUUUCAUGAACAGUGUCUGGGACAGAAGGAGGACAUCAAGGUACACAGUUCUACUGUUCUGAGUUACUCAGGGCACGUGGAUUUUCCUCACUCAUGUACUUAUUUCUCUAUGUGCUCACUCAUUCUCUCCCCUCACCCCACACACAUAAUGAAUUGGUGGGAGUUUAUGUGUAGAUUUUUAUAUAUUUAAUUUUCCUGCAUUUGCUUUAUAUAUGAGUACUUAUAACAUUUUUUCUGUCAUUUUUUGAGAUAUGGUCAUUAAAAAAAUUCUUACCACAAAUAUCUUAGAAUCAAUAUUGUGUAUUGGUUCUAAGAAGACCAGUAAAGGCUAGGCAAUGGGGAUUGAGUGACUUGGAAUCACACAUCUAGGAAGUAUCUGUUAUCAGAUUUUGAACCCAGGAUCUCUCAUUUCAAGGCCUGGCUCUCAAUCCACUAAGCCACCUUGCUGCCCCCUCAAAUAGAAAUGUUUAAGAGUUCAAAGUGUCAUUAUUAUGAGUGGGUAACUGAUUUUCUUUAAAUAGAAGUAUAUCAAUGAGAGCUCAAGUGUUAAAGUGGUAAAUAGGGAAGAAUAUAUAUCUCCCCUCCACUGGAGGGUCCCUAGAUCCCUGAGAGAAGCUGAGUAUAACCAUGUGGAGGUGGUUCUUCUUUUGAAACCUGCCCAUGGGAAAUCAAGUGAGAGAGAGAACAUGAGAACAUGAGAACAAGUGAGAAAAGUGGAGUUUGACCAUGAUGGGUUUGAGAGAGAAGGAGCUAUCUUUGCAUUGGUCAGAGUGC